CGAUAACGAACGAGACCUUAACCUGCUAAAUAGUUAGGCCAACGUUUGUUGGUCGUCAACUUCUUAGAGGGACUAUUGACUAUUAGUCAAUGGAAGUUUGAGGCAAUAACAGGUCUGUGAUGCCCUUAGAUGUUCUGGGCCGCACGCGCGCUACACUGAUCAAGUCAACGAGUUUACAACCUUGGCCGGAAGGUCUAGGUAAUCUUUUGAAACUUGAUCGUGCUGGGGAUAGUCCAUUGCAAUUAUUGGACUUCAACGAGGAAUUCCUAGUAAGCGUGAGUCAUCAGCUCGCGUUGAUUACGUCCCUGCUCUUUGUACACACCGCCCGUCGCUACUACCGAUUGAAUGGCU
This 351-nucleotide ribosomal RNA is filed under the name uncultured fungus. Its description in RNAcentral is "SSU rRNA". It matches the Rfam family "Eukaryotic small subunit ribosomal RNA", at positions 1326 to 1698 of the family's 1831-position model. Lineage: Eukaryota; Fungi. The record is from RNAcentral.